Molecule: non-coding RNA, 118 nt
Filed under: Ctenophora environmental sample
Lineage: Eukaryota; Metazoa; Ctenophora
Source: RNAcentral
AGAAGAAGGCUGCCACCAAGAAGAAGGCCACCAAGAAAGCCCCCGCCAAAAAGGCCACCAAGAAGAAGGCUACCAAGAAGAAGGCCACCAAGAAGAAGGCCACCAAGAAGAAGUAAAU